ACGGGAGGCAGCAGUGGGGAAUAUUGCGCAAUGGGCGCAAGCCUGAUGCAGCGAUGCCGCGUGAGGGAAGAAGGUUUUCGGAUUGUAAACCUCUGUCAACAGGGACGAAAAUGACGGUACCCGUGAAGGAAGCUCCGGCUAACUACGUGCCAGCAGCCGCGGUAAUACGUAGGGAGCAAGCGUUAUCCGGAAUUACUGGGUGUAAAGGGAGUGUAGGCGGGACUGUAAGUCAGAUGUGAAAUAUGCCGGCUCAACUGGCAGACUGCAUUUGAAACUGCGGUUCUUGAGUGAAGUAGAGGUAAGCGGAAUUCCUAGUGUAGCGGUGAAAUGCGUAGAUAUUAGGAGGAACACCGGUGGCGAAGGCGACUUUCUGGACGAUAACUGACGUUGAUGAACGAAAGUGUGGGGAGCAAACAGGAUUAGAUAACCUGGUA
Molecule: ribosomal RNA, 434 nt
Filed under: uncultured Ruminococcus sp.
Lineage: Bacteria; Bacillati; Bacillota; Clostridia; Eubacteriales; Oscillospiraceae
Description: partial 16S ribosomal RNA
Rfam family: Bacterial small subunit ribosomal RNA
Source: RNAcentral